ACAUUUCUCACGAGUGCGUCAUCUGAUCGGCCUUUAUGGAGACCGCCGAUCAAACUAUUUAAAGCCUUUAUCGGCCGAUAACGAUCAGUGACUGAUCAAUUGGAGCACCCUUAGGAUUGAGGGUAGAUGUUG
Molecule: long non-coding RNA, 132 nt
Organism: Etheostoma cragini (Arkansas darter)
Lineage: Eukaryota; Metazoa; Chordata; Actinopteri; Perciformes; Percidae
Exons: 3
Source: RefSeq, a predicted model, not a curated record